This is a non-coding RNA of Hordeum vulgare subsp. vulgare (domesticated barley), 124 nucleotides long. NCBI's taxonomy places the organism in Eukaryota, Viridiplantae, Streptophyta, Magnoliopsida, Poales, Poaceae. The record is from Rfam.
AGUUUGUCUUCGUAAGGUGUUGGGUUAAGUCUCGCAACGAGCGCAACCCUCAUGUUUAGUUGUCACUAUCAGUUUGAAACCCUGAACAGGCCACAUGUGUUAAACUGGAGGAAAGAGAGGAUGA